This 271-nucleotide unclassified non-coding RNA is filed under the name uncultured fungus. Its description in RNAcentral is "sequence contains ITS1". The stretch from base 1 to 95 matches the Rfam family "5.8S ribosomal RNA", at positions 50 to 154 of the family's 154-position model. Lineage: Eukaryota; Fungi. The record is from RNAcentral.
AAAGUGCGAAAUGUAGUGCGAUUUGCAUGAAUCUGUGAGUCAUCUAAUCUUUGAACGCAACUUGCGCCCUCUAGGGCAUGUCUGUUUGAGUACCGCAUCCUAACUGCAGCAAUGCGAACUGACCUUGGCGCUGGGCCUCGGUUUGAAUGGAGCAAGUAGGGCGCGCUGGGCUGUCCGACUAUAUGCCAGGAUCUUAUAGUUUGACGGCUGGGCGACCCGCCAAUCUUUUAUUUUUGGUCUCAAAUCAGGCAAGACUACCCGCUGAACUUAA